AAACUUAAAAACUUUCACUAGGCAUAAAAUUCUACUUUCUGAGACCGUGACCCACUUAGACCUCAAUAACCCUCAAUUCAACUGUUAGAUCGAGCUCAAAUUCACAAUACAUAUUGAACACAACUAUAACCAAUAAUCCACAAAAUUUCACUUGUAGAUCUAUUAUAAAAAACUUGAAAUCAUUCAAAACGUAAAUCCUAUUUUAUUUCAUAAAACUCAAGUCAUCCAAAACAAACCUUGACUUUACAAAGCUCUUACAAAGUCAAUACAGAUCCAAAUCACCUAAAACCAAUGCU
RNAcentral lists this long non-coding RNA (296 nucleotides) under Physcomitrium patens. RNAcentral's name for it is "long non-coding RNA (PPAT_LNC008887)". The record is from RNAcentral. Lineage: Eukaryota; Viridiplantae; Streptophyta; Bryopsida; Funariales; Funariaceae.